AUCAUGACCGGAGCUGAAGUCAAGAGUCUGAUGCCUAACCGACUGAGCCACCAAGGACUCCCACAUUUAUGAAGAAAUAUCAACGUGUGGUCUAAAAAUUGAAUUCAAGGAUCUUUGUUUAUGAAACUUCUCCAUGAAAAUAGGAAUCAUUGUGUCCUUUUGCUUUUUUCUCCAUUGCUGAAUCCUUGGUAUUAGACCUGUGCUUGACUCAUGGAAGGACAGAACUGGUUCAGACCCCCAUGUCUGCCUGGAGCACCCCAGCGACCUCCUGUACCCACUUCAAUACUCUGGAAUAUGCAUUGACAGCUCUGACUAGCUCUAAGCUGGAGUUCACAGCCUGGACACAAAGCAGUGAAGUGUUCCUCUUAGACAGGACCUGUGAAAGCAGAUCGGAAGCCGCUAAGAUAAAAGGCUGUUGGCGGAACUCAGGCCAAAACCUCACCUCAGUUAACACCAGUAAAAUCCCAGAAUUUCCCUUUAUAUUUUUGUUAAAAUGGACCAUUAAUGAGGCCAAAAGUCUGACACUGGCAGAUGACAAAAUACUUUUUCUUCUUUUCUCUUCUGUGUUUUCAAUUCCAGAAAGACAAAGAUAUAAUGAAUAACAUAAUCCUUCUAUAAAGAAGUAAAACAAAACUAUUGAGAUUAGAAAUGUCUGUGUGGAUCCUCUGGGAUGCAGAUGCCAAGUGAUGAGCUGGGACAUGCAGUAGGUUUGCUGGGAGAGCUGUCUGUG
Long non-coding RNA from Canis lupus familiaris (dog), 730 nucleotides. RefSeq lists it as uncharacterized. The record is from RefSeq and is a predicted model, not a curated record. NCBI's taxonomy places the organism in Eukaryota, Metazoa, Chordata, Mammalia, Carnivora, Canidae. The transcript has 4 exons.